This 292-nucleotide ribosomal RNA is filed under the name uncultured bacterium. Its description in RNAcentral is "partial 16S ribosomal RNA". It matches the Rfam family "Bacterial small subunit ribosomal RNA", at positions 505 to 796 of the family's 1533-position model. The record is from RNAcentral.
GUGUCAGCAGCCGCGGUAAUACGUAGGGUCCGAGCGUUGUCCGGAGUUACUGGGCGUAAAGCGCGCGCAGGCGGCCCGUCAAGCAUGGCGUGAAAGCCCCCGGCUCAACCGGGGAGGGUCGUCGUGGACUGGCGGGCUUGAGGGCGGUAGGGGCUGGUGGAAUUCCCGGUGUAGUGGUGAAAUGCGUAGAGAUCGGGAGGAACACCCGUGGCGAAGGCGGCCAGCUGGGCCGUCCCUGACGCUGAGGCGCGAAGGCGUGGGGAGCGAACGGGAUUAGAUACCCCGGUAGUCC